GGACGACGGACUGGGAAGGAAAUCAUUUCCCGUAGACGACGUACAAGGAGGGAGCUGCCAUGCAAGGCCCUAACCACGAUCCAUCAGCAAGGGUGAAGUGUCUUGUCCAAGGACACAACGGGCGUGACCAGGAUAACGGAAACCGAGGAUCGAACCAGGAACCCUUAAGUUGCUGGCACGGCCGCUCUACCAACCGAGCCACAUGUAUCAACUAUACAUUUUCACAUAUUUUAAAGCCUCGUCCUCCAGUGAUUGUAUUACCCAUUUAUCAUCAUUAUAUUGAUGAUUAAAGAAAAGCAGUUUAUUUGACAUAUAGUUUAGAGGAGCUGCUCCACACUGUGUAUGGAGACACAUAAUUAGCUUCUAGUUGCUUGUCAGCCGGAGUUUGUGUUUGUGAUCGGCAAUAAAAUGCAUUAUUCGGCAAAGGCCCUUUUACGAAAAUUGGCCCAUACUGAUUGGUGGAGACACCGAAGGGCACAUCACUACAUAACACAAACCAACAUAAGACAUCACAGUAUAGCAUAACAAUGACACGGUACAACACAACUCAGGAUACAUACCAAAUGUGGUACUUUUGUUGGCACUGACUUAAAUCUAUAUGUACUACGGGGUACUGACUCCCAUAAAAUCACAUAGUACCAUAUUUUGAUACUUUUGUUGCACGUGACAUCACAUCUAAUUGCAGACUCAGCACCGGCUCAAGCAUUUGGAGAAA
Long non-coding RNA from Entelurus aequoreus (snake pipefish), 715 nucleotides. RefSeq lists it as uncharacterized. The transcript has 3 exons. NCBI's taxonomy places the organism in Eukaryota, Metazoa, Chordata, Actinopteri, Syngnathiformes, Syngnathidae. The record is from RefSeq and is a predicted model, not a curated record.